Molecule: microRNA precursor, 103 nt
Filed under: Marmota monax (woodchuck)
Lineage: Eukaryota; Metazoa; Chordata; Mammalia; Rodentia; Sciuridae
Source: RNAcentral
AGUAGUAUAGCUGGGUCAUAUGAUGACUCCAUUCCUAGUUUUUUGAGAAAUCUCCAUACUGCUUUCCAAAAUGGUUAUACUAAUUUUCAGUCCCAUCAACAAU